UCCGGCUUAUCACCGGCGGUUUCUUUAGAGUGCCCAACUAAAUGAUGGCAACUAAAGACGAGGGUUGCGCUCGUUGCGGGACUUAACCCAACAUCUCACGACACGAGCUGGCGACAGCCAUGCAGCACCUCUAUACAGUCCUCCGAAGGGGGGCCCUCAUCUCUGAGGCUUUCCUGUACAGUUCAAACCCAGGUAAGGUUCUGCGCGUUGCUUCGAAUUAAACCACAUGCUCCACCGCUUGUGCGGGCCCCCGUCAAUUCCUUUGAGUUUCAGUCUUGCGACCGUACUCCCCAGGCGGAGUGCUUAAUGUGUUGACUUCGGCACAGCAGGGGUCGAUACCGCCCACACCUAGCACCCAUCGUUUACGGCGUGGACUAC
This 378-nucleotide unclassified non-coding RNA is filed under the name uncultured bacterium. RNAcentral's name for it is "contains 16S-23S intergenic spacer region". The record is from RNAcentral.